CAGCCGCCCGGGAAUACGAAGGGGGCUAGCGUUGUUCGGAUUUACUGGGCAUAAAGCGCACGUAGGCGGAUCGAUCAGUCAGGGGUGAAACCCCAGAGCUCAACUCUGGAACUGCCUUUGAUACUGUCGAUCUGGAGUAUGGAAGAGGUGAGUGGAAUUCCGAGUGUAGAGGUGAAAUUCGUAGAUAUUCGGAGGAACACCAGUGGCGAAGGCGGCUCACUGGUCCAUUACUGACGCUGAGGUGCGAAAGCGUGGGGAGCAAACAGGAUUAGAUACCCGUGUAGUCCCUGUCCUCUUAUAC
RNAcentral lists this ribosomal RNA (301 nucleotides) under uncultured bacterium. RNAcentral describes it as "partial 16S ribosomal RNA". It matches the Rfam family "Bacterial small subunit ribosomal RNA", at positions 512 to 810 of the family's 1533-position model. The record is from RNAcentral.